UACGUAGGGGGCGAGCGUUGUCCGGAGUUACUGGGCGUAAAGCGCACGCAGGCGGUCUGCUAAGUUUGGAGUGACAGUUGGUGGCUUAACUGCCAAAGUGCUUCGAAAACUGACAGACUUGAGGGCUUCAGAGGGACACGGAAUUCCGGGUGGAGUGGUGAAAUGCGUAGAGAUCCGGAGGAACACCGGCGGCGAAGGCGGCCCUCUGGAUCGUUGCUGACGCUGAUACGCGAAAGCGUGGGGAGCAAACAGG
RNAcentral lists this ribosomal RNA (253 nucleotides) under uncultured bacterium. Its description in RNAcentral is "partial 16S ribosomal RNA". It matches the Rfam family "Bacterial small subunit ribosomal RNA", at positions 524 to 776 of the family's 1533-position model. The record is from RNAcentral.